GACUAUCUCAAACCAAACCAUUCCCUAACUGUUAUAUCUUCACAUUUUACUCACACAGUUUUAUUUGAACAAGUACAAUCUACACCAAAAUCAUAAGUCUCACUUGGUAAAAUAUCUUUGUACCAUAUUUAGCCAACGGCUAAUUUCCCUCUGCAGUCCCCAGGCAGCUGAACAUAUACAGUGCAUUUGGAAAGUUUUCAGACCCUUUUACUUUUUCCACAUUUUGUUACGUUGCAGCCUUAUUCUAAAAUAGAUUUUUCCCCCCUAAUCAAUCUACACACAAUAACCCAUGAUGACAAAGCAAAAACAGAUUUGUAUAAAUGUUUGCAAAUGUAAAAAAAACUGACAUCACAUUUACAUAAGUAUUCAGACCCUUUACUCAGUACCUUUUGGCAGCAAUUACAGCCUCGAGUCUUCUGGGGUAUGACGCUACAGCUUGCCGCACCUGUAUUUGUGGAGUUUCCCCUCCCAUUCUUCUCUGCAGAUCAUCUCAAGCUCUGUCCGGUUGGAUGGGGAGUGUUGCUGCACAGCUAUUUUCAGGUCUUUCCAGAGAUGUUUGAUCAGGUUCAAGUCCAGGCUCUGGCUGGGCCACUCAAGGACAUUCAGAGACUUGUCCCGAAGCCAGUCCUGCGUUGUCUUGGCUGUGUGUUUAGGGUCUUUGUUCUGUUGGAAGGUGAACCUUCACCCCAGUUUUUUGGUCCUGAGCGCUCUGGAGCAGGUUUUCAUCAAGGAUCUCUCAGUGCUUUGCUCCGUUCCUCUUUCCCUCAAUCCUGACUAGUCUCCCAGUUCCUGCCACUGAAAAAUAUACCCACAGCAUGAUACUGCCACCACCACCAUGCUUCACCGUAGGGAUGGUGCCAGGUUUCCUCCAGACGUGACACUAGGCAUUCAGGCCUAAGAGUUCAAUCUUGGUUUCAUCAGACCAGAGAAUCUUGUUUUUCAUGGUCUGAGAGUCCUAUAGGUGCCUUUUGGCAACACUUCAAGUGGGCUGUCAUGUGCCUUUUUACUGAGGAGUGGCUUCCGUCUGGCCACUCUACCAUAAAGGCCUGAUUUGAUGGAGUGCUACAGAGAUGGUUGUCCUGGAAGAUUCUCCCAUCUCCACAGAGGAACUCUGGAGCUCUGUCAGAGUGAGCAUUGGGUUCUUGGUCACCUCCCUGACCAAGGCCCUUCUUCCCCGAUUGCUCAGUUUGGUCUGGUGGCCAGCUCUGGGAGUUUUGGUGGUUCCAAACUAUUUCAAUUUAUGAAUGAUGGAGGCCACUGUGUUCUUGGGGACCUUCAAUGCUGCAGACAUUUUUUGGUACCCUUCCCCAGAUCUGUGCCUCGAAACAAUCCUGUCUCGGAUCUCUACGUAAAUUCCUUCGACCUCAUGUCUAGGGUUUUGCUCUGAUCUGCACAGUCAAAUGUGGGACCUCAUAUAGACAGGUGUGUGCCUUUCCAAAUAAUGUCUAAUAAGUAGAAUUUACCACAGGUGGACUCAAAGAUGUAGAAACAUCUCAAGGAUGAUCAAUGGAAAAAGGAUGCACCUGAGCUCAAUUUCAUGUCUCAUAGCAAAGGCUCUGAAUACAUUACAUUUACAUUUAAGUCAUUUAAAUACACAGGGGAUAAUGGGGAAGAUGGGCGACACCUGGAGUGGGGGUGGAGACCGUCACAAAGACAGGUGAAACAGAUCAGGGUGUGACAAAUGCCACGGAUAUGCAUUUUCAAUGCUCUCAUUGAAGAAGCUCAGUCAGAAGCGUUUUCCUGAGCUGGAUAAGAAGAAUGAGGCAUCUCCACAUCUCCUCUGUGCAUCCCCAAAUGGAACCCUAUUCCCUAUAUAGUGCACUACUUUAGACCAGAGCCCUAGGCCCAUUAUCAGCAACCAUCACUCCUGUGUUCCAAUGGCACGUUGUGUUAGCUAAUCCAAGAUUGUAAUUUUAAAAGGCUAAUUGAUCAUUAGAAAACCCUUUUGCAAUUAUGUUAGCACAGCUGAAAACUGUCCUGAUUUAAAGAAGCAAUAAAACUGGCCUCCUUUAGACUAGUUGAGUAUCUGGAGCAUCAGCAUUCGUGGGUUCGAUUUACAAGCUCAAAACAGCCAGAAACAAAACCUUUCUUCUGAAACUCGUCAGUCUAUUCUUGUUCUGAGAAAUGAAGGCUAUUCCACGCGAAAAAUUGCCAAGAAACUGAAGGUCUCGUAUAACGCUGUGUACUAUUCCCUUCAAAGCGCAAAUUGACUUGAACCAGAAUAGAAAGAGGAGUGGGAGGCCCCCGUUGCACAACUGAGCAAGUGGACAAGUACAUUAGUGUCUAGUUUGAGAAUCAGACGCCUGAAGUGUUGCCACCACAAGUCCUCAACUGGCAGCUUCAUUAAAUAGUACCCACAAAACACCAGUCUCAACGUCAGCAGUGAAGAGGCGACUCCGGGAUGCUGGCCUUCUAGGCAGAGUUGCAAAGAAAAGGCCAUAUCUCAGACUGGCCAAUAAAAAGAAAAUAUGGGCAAAAGAUCACAGACAGUGGACCGAGGAACUCUGCCUAGAAGGCCAGCAUCCCGGAGUCGCCUCUUCACUGUUGACGUUGAGACUGGUGUUUUGUGGGUACUAUUUAAUGAAGCUGCCAUCUCCCCUCUGCUUGAAUGCAGAGGGGAGAUUAUGUUGUGUUGUUUCUUUGCAUUUCUGUCUUCCUCUGGUAAACUGAGAUGUUGGUGUAAAUAAAUUUGAGGUGUUGGCAGCUUCAUAGGCUAUUCUCGUUGACUUUGGCGACAUACUGCUCACGUCUUAUCCACAACUCUCUGUCCAUCGCCGUUGUAAUCCACUGGGGAGCCAACAUUUCCCCAAACUGGAUAUUUUAAACGAUGAUGGAGAAUCCUCCAAUGUUUAUCUGGUUUAUCGACCCCACCACUUCCCAUCUUACAGAACAGGGGGGGCCUGAACAUAAUUACAAAUUUGUAGACAGCAAAUUUACCGCAAGAAGCCCAAACAGAUAUAUUUUACUAAAACAUCAUGUCAAACCUUGCUUACCUUUUUGUAUACGAUCACAUACAGUAUAUCUCUCUCUCUCAUGUGUGGGAUUACUUUGGAACAGAUUUGCAAAAUGUAAAAUCACUUGGAGCUGAUUUGCUGGUGUUUUUACAGUCUUUUAUAUCCAACAAUUUUUUGAAUAUAUAUAUAUAUUUUUUUAAUCACACACAGUCCGCCAGUUGGGGAAUCCAGAUGUAGUUGCUUUAACAGAAUAGCUUAGAAUGUGUUUUGAGCUCAGAUUUACUCAAAAGGGAAUAGGCACUCAAUGCAGUGUAGGCAUAGGGCUAGAGUUUUUAUAUUUUGUUCAACUUUUUUUUAAUGUAUUCAAUGGGGUUCACAGUGAGGACGGAACAGAGGCCUCGUACCGAAACACCCCUGGAAGCCUGCUAUCUCCCUAGAAGCCUGCUAUCUCCUAUCUCAUUGUUCUGAACAGAGGCCUCGUACCGAACACCCCUGGAAGCCUGCUAUCUCCUAUCUCAUUGUUCUGAACAGAGGUCUCGUACCGAACACCCCUGGAAGCCUGCUAUCUCCCUAGAAGCCUGCUAUCUCCUAUCUCAUUGUUCUGAACAGAGGCCUCGUACCGAACACCCCUGGAAGCCUGCUAUCUCCUAUCUCAUUGUUCUGAACAGAGGCCUCGUACCGAACACCGCUAGAAGCCUGCUAUCUCCCUGGAAGCCUGCUAUCUCCUAUCUCAUUGUUCUGAACAGAGGCCUCAUACCGAACACCCCUAGAAGCCUGCUAUCUCCCUAGAAGCCUGCUAUCUCCCUAGAAUCCCGCUAUCUCCCUAGAAUCCCGCUAUCUCCCUAGAAGCCCACUAUCUCCCUAGAAGCCCGCUAUCUCCCUAGAAGCCCGCUAUCUCCCUGGAAGCCUGCUAUCUCCCUAGAAGCCUGCUAUCUCCCUAGAAGCCUGCUAUCUCCCUAGAAGCCUGCUAUCUCCCUGGAAGCCUGCUAUCUCCCUAGAAGCCUGCUAUCUCCUAUCUCAUUGUUCUGAACCAGCGUUUUGUGAUCCCUCCUGUUUAUCAGAUAUAAUCGCCUGUAAGAUAAACAGUUUGAUGACAAUGUCCGGUACUUUUGCGGAGUUUUAUUGUUAUUUUUUUUAAACAUUUUUUAAACCUC
Molecule: long non-coding RNA, 4108 nt
Organism: Salvelinus fontinalis (brook trout)
Lineage: Eukaryota; Metazoa; Chordata; Actinopteri; Salmoniformes; Salmonidae
Exons: 2
Source: RefSeq, a predicted model, not a curated record